This 690-nucleotide long non-coding RNA is filed under the name Bos taurus (domestic cattle). RNAcentral's name for it is "long non-coding RNA NONBTAT022423". The record is from RNAcentral. Lineage: Eukaryota; Metazoa; Chordata; Mammalia; Artiodactyla; Bovidae.
UUUUUUGAGGUUGCAUUUUAUCACUCAAAAUAACGUUGUCCUUUGUAGAACUGGGUCCGGAAACGUGCUUUGUGAUUUCUGAGAAAUACACUAUAAUUCAAAUGCUACUUCCUACCAGCAAACAUCAAAAUUGACUGCAUUUGUGUGAUUACAAGAGCAAAGAAAAGCCGAAGAGCCAUAAAUAGCACCAAUUUUACUUCACUGAGAUGUUCUGUAAGACACUGGGCACACAGAUCGGUGCUCCAAGUGUUGUCAGUUAUGGACAGAAAUCUGGACUCCUCACUGGGCAGUAUUCCUUUCUGCUCAAUUGAAAGUUUGUUUUUUUUUACAAUAAAUAACAGAUAGUAACAAACACAUACUCAGAUGAAACAGGCAGUGGUGUGCCAGCAUUAUGUUGCCGUGACAAAGUUCCUCCAUCUGUGUCCUCUCCUUCAGUCUGCAAAAAUUAUUCAGGUACUUUACAUAAUAAAAGACUAACAAAUUGACGAGUUUAGUUUAUAUAGCAAUAGCCUGCUCAGUCUUAAAAUUCUUAGGAGAGAAUAUAUUAUGAGAAAUAAUGAUUUUUAAAGGUAGUAUUAUCAAUGAAAUUAUAUAAUUUAAUAUGUUGUUUCAGAAUAUUCAGGAAAAGCUUUAUUUUUAGAUUUUACCCGAGAAUGAGAAGUUGUGUUUGUGUGUGAGCACAUUUCGUUG